GAUGAAGAACGCAGCGAAAUGCGAUAAGUAGUGUGAAUUGCAGAAUUCAGUGAAUCAUCGAAUCUUUGAACGCACAUUGCGCCCUUUGGUAUCCCUUAGGGCAUGCCUGUUCGAGCGUCAUUUAAACCUUCAAGCUAAGCUUGGUGUUGGGUGACUGUCCGCUUCACGGCGGACUCGCCUCAAAAUUAUUGGCGGCCGGUACAUUGGCUUCGAGCGCAGCAGAAACGCGAACUCGGGCCCGUCGUAUUGGCUCCCAGAAGCUAUCUUCACAAUUUUGACCUCGGAUCAGGUAGGGAUACCCGCUGAACUUAAGCAUAUCAAUAACGGAGGA
This 331-nucleotide unclassified non-coding RNA is filed under the name soil metagenome. Its description in RNAcentral is "partial contains 5.8S ribosomal RNA, internal transcribed spacer 2, and large subunit ribosomal RNA". The stretch from base 1 to 120 matches the Rfam family "5.8S ribosomal RNA", at positions 35 to 154 of the family's 154-position model. The record is from RNAcentral.